UACGUAGGGUGCGAGCGUUGUCCGGAAUUAUUGGGCGUAAAGGGCUCGUAGGCGGUUUGUCGCGUCGGGAGUGAAAACUCAGGGCUUAACCCUGAGCCUGCUUCCGAUACGGGCAGACUAGAGGUAUGCAGGGGAGAACGGAAUUCCUGGUGUAGCGGUGAAAUGCGCAGAUAUCAGGAGGAACACCGGUGGCGAAGGCGGGUCUCUGGGCAGUAACUGACGCUGAGGAGCGAAAGCGUGGGGAGCGAACAGG
This 253-nucleotide ribosomal RNA is filed under the name uncultured bacterium. Its description in RNAcentral is "partial 16S ribosomal RNA". It matches the Rfam family "Bacterial small subunit ribosomal RNA", at positions 524 to 776 of the family's 1533-position model. The record is from RNAcentral.